GUGUCAGCCGCCGCGGUACUACGAAGGGGGCUAGCGUUGCUCGGAAUUACUGGGCGUAAAGGGCGCGUAGGCGGUCAUUUUAGUCAGGCGUGAAAUUCCCGGGCUUAACCUGGGGACUGCGCUUGAUACUGGGUGACUAGGGUGGAAGAGGGUCGUGGAAUUCCCAGUGUAGAGGUGAAAUUCGUAGAUAUUGGGAAGAACACCGGUGGCGAAGGCGGCGACCUGGUCCAUUACUGACGCUGAGGCGCGACAGCGUGGGGAGCAAACAGGAUUAGAUACCCCGGUAGUCC
This 290-nucleotide ribosomal RNA is filed under the name uncultured Roseomonas sp. RNAcentral's name for it is "partial 16S ribosomal RNA". It matches the Rfam family "Bacterial small subunit ribosomal RNA", at positions 505 to 796 of the family's 1533-position model. The record is from RNAcentral. Lineage: Bacteria; Pseudomonadati; Pseudomonadota; Alphaproteobacteria; Acetobacterales; Roseomonadaceae.